RNAcentral lists this ribosomal RNA (395 nucleotides) under uncultured bacterium. RNAcentral describes it as "bacterial SSU rRNA". It matches the Rfam family "Bacterial small subunit ribosomal RNA", at positions 28 to 414 of the family's 1533-position model. The record is from RNAcentral.
GACGAACGCUGGCGGCGUGCCUAACACAUGCAAGUCGAGCGGAGAUCAAGGAGAGCUUGCUCAAAUUGAUUUUAGCGGCGGACGGGUGAGUAACGCGUGAGCAAUCUGUCCUACACAGGGGGAUAACAGCUGGAAACAGCUGCUAAUACCGCAUAAGACCACAGUACCGCAUGGCACAAGGGUCAAAGAUUUAUCGGUGUAGGGUGAGCUCGCGUCCCAUUAGAUAGUUGGCGGGGUAACGGCCCACCAAGUCGACGAUGGGUAGCCGACCUGAGAGGGUGAUCGGCCACACUGGGACUGAGACACGGCCCAAAACUCCUACGGGAGGCAGCAGUGGGGAAUAUUGCACAAAUGGGGGAAACCCUGAUGCAGCGACGCCGCGUGAGUGAAGAAGU